Molecule: ribosomal RNA, 440 nt
Filed under: uncultured bacterium
Lineage: Bacteria
Description: partial 16S ribosomal RNA
Rfam family: Bacterial small subunit ribosomal RNA
Source: RNAcentral
CCUACGGGAGGCAGCAGUGGGGAAUAUUGCACAAUGGGGGAAACCCUGAUGCAGCGACGCCGCGUGAGUGAAGAAGGUAUUCGUUUUGUAAAGCCCUAUUAUUAGGGAAGAAAAUGACGGUACCUAACUAAUAAGCCCCGGCUAACUACGUGCCAGCAGCCGCGGUAAUACGUAGGUGGCAAGCGUUGCCCGGAUUUACUGGGUGUAACGGGCGCGUAGGCGGGUUGACAAGUCAGAUGUGAAAUCCUGCGGCUUAACCGCAGAACUGCAUUUGAAACUGUUGCUCUUGAGUACUGGAGAGGCAGACGGAAUUCCUAGUGUAGCGGUGAAAUGCGUAGAUAUUAGGAGGAACACCAGUGGCGAAGGCGGUCUGCUGGACAGCAACUGACGGUGAGGCGCGAAAGCGUGGGGAGCAAACAGGAUUAGAUACCCCUGUAGUC